GGUGCCUCUUCCUCCUCACAUACUAUCUCCCAAAGAUCCAAUGACGCCAAAAGUAGCUCCAUUUUGGCCUUCCAGUGGUGAAAGUUGUCACCUCUAAACUUUUCUACCAUUCUUAAGCUAUCACUCUCAAAAGAUGCCAUCUCAAGCUACAAGUAGGUCCAAAAAUCUCUUGAUUUGGAGUUGUAAUGCAAAAGAUAUGACUACUCAAAGAUUGCUGAACUACAAACUCAGAAUUCGCUGUUUUGCAACUUUUUGCAUACUUUGAGUCCAAAUCACGUCUAAAUAGUGGAAAAUG
This 295-nucleotide long non-coding RNA is filed under the name Physcomitrium patens. RNAcentral describes it as "long non-coding RNA (PPAT_LNC009902)". The record is from RNAcentral. Lineage: Eukaryota; Viridiplantae; Streptophyta; Bryopsida; Funariales; Funariaceae.